This 498-nucleotide ribosomal RNA is filed under the name uncultured bacterium. RNAcentral describes it as "partial 16S ribosomal RNA". It matches the Rfam family "Bacterial small subunit ribosomal RNA", at positions 29 to 507 of the family's 1533-position model. The record is from RNAcentral.
ACGAACGCUGGCGGCGUGCCUCAUACAUGCAAGUCGAGCGAAGUUUUUCUGGUGCUUGCACCGGAAAAACUUAGCGGCGAACGGGUGAGUAACACGUAAAGAACCUGCCUCAUAGACUGGGACAACUAUUGGAGACGAUAGCUAAUACCGGAUAAUAGCAUUAACUGCAUGGUUGAUGUUUAAAAGUUGGUUUUGCUAACACUAUGAGAUGGCUUUGCGGUGCAUUAGCUAGUUGGUGGGGUAAAGGCCUACCAAGGCGACGAUGCAUAGCCGACCUGAGAGGGUGAUCGGCCACACUGGGACUGAGACACGGCCCAGACUCCUACGGGAGGCAGCAGUAGGGAAUCUUCCGCAAUGGGCGAAAGCCUGACGGAGCAACGCCGCGUGAGUGAAGAAGGAUUUCGGUUCGUAAAGCUCUGUUGUUAGGGAAGAAUGAGUGUGUAGUAACUAUACACAGUAGAGACGGUACCUAACCAGAAAGCCACGGCUAACUACGUG